RNAcentral lists this ribosomal RNA (799 nucleotides) under uncultured Glomeromycotina. RNAcentral describes it as "SSU rRNA". It matches the Rfam family "Eukaryotic small subunit ribosomal RNA", at positions 314 to 1114 of the family's 1831-position model. The record is from RNAcentral. Lineage: Eukaryota; Fungi; Glomeromycota.
AUCAACUUUCGAUGGUAGGAUAGAGGCCUACCAUGGUGGUAACGGGUAACGGGGUGUUAGGGCACGACACCGGAGAGGGAGCCUGAGAAACGGCUACCACAUCCAAGGAUGGCAGCAGGCGCGCAAAUUACCCAAUCCCGACACGGGGAGGUAGUGACAAUAAAUAACAAUACGGGGUCCUUUCGGGUUUCGUAAUUGGAAUGAGUACAAUUUAAAUCUCUUAACGAGGAACAAUUGGAGGGCAAGUCUGGUGCCAGCAGCCGCGGUAAUUCCAGCUCCAAUAGCGUAUAUUAAAGUUGUUGCAGUUAAAAAGCUCGUAGUUGAAUUUCGGGAUCAGUACGUCGGUCGUGCCUCUGGUAUGUACUGGUGUUACUGGUUCCUCCCUUCUGAAGAACUGUCAUGUCAUUUAUUUGGUGUGGCGGGGAAUCAGGACUGUUACUUUGAAAAAAUUAGAGUGUUUAAAGCAGGCUCGCGCUUGAAUACAUUAGCAUGGAAUAAUGAAAUAGGACGUUUGAUCCUAUUUUGUUGGUUUCUAGGAUUGACGUAAUGAUUAAUAGGGAUAGUUGGGGGCAUUAGUAUUCAAUUGUCAGAGGUGAAAUUCUUGGAUUUAUUGAAGACUAACUACUGCGAAAGCAUUUGCCAAGGAUGUUUUCAUUAAUCAAGAACGAAAGUUAGGGGAUCGAAGACGAUCAGAUACCGUCGUAGUCUUAACCAUAAACUAUGCCGACUAGGGAUCGGAUGAUGUUAAUUUUUUAAUGACUCAUUCGGCGCCUUACGGGAAACCAAAGUGUUUGGGUUC